This 65-nucleotide transfer RNA is filed under the name pig gut metagenome. It matches the Rfam family "tRNA", at positions 7 to 64 of the family's 71-position model. Rfam says of the family: Transfer RNA (tRNA) molecules are approximately 80 nucleotides in length. Their secondary structure includes four short double-helical elements and three loops (D, anti-codon, and T loops). The record is from RNAcentral.
GUAGCUCAAUUGGAUAGAGCAUCUGACUACGGAUCAGAAGGUUGUGAGUUCGAAUCCCGCCGAGU